UAAAUACCCCUCAAUGA
This 17-nucleotide transfer RNA is filed under the name Callisaurus draconoides splendidus. RNAcentral's name for it is "partial tRNA-Lys". Lineage: Eukaryota; Metazoa; Chordata; Lepidosauria; Squamata; Phrynosomatidae. The record is from RNAcentral.